This 71-nucleotide transfer RNA is filed under the name Osmundea sinicola. RNAcentral's name for it is "tRNA-Cys". It matches the Rfam family "tRNA". From Rfam's summary of the family: Transfer RNA (tRNA) molecules are approximately 80 nucleotides in length. The record is from RNAcentral. Lineage: Eukaryota; Rhodophyta; Florideophyceae; Ceramiales; Rhodomelaceae.
GGCGGUAUGGCCAAGUGGUAAGGCAGAGGAUUGCAAAUUCUUUAUCCCCAGUUCAAAUCUGGGUACCGCCU